UCUCUCCCUUCGCCCGGCUGAGCCGGCCCCACGUGCGGCCAGGAGGAAGGAGGCGGCGCUUCAGGAGGGCGGGCAGAGAGACACGCACAGAGAGGAGAGAAAGAGGCAGCUAGACGCCCAGAAACUGCAAGUCACUUUUGGUGUGAGAGAAUUGGCCAUCUGCAAGUACAUUGCCCAGGGGACACCCGGUUGUUUGAUGUUUUACCAUCCUCAUGGGAGGCUUCUCUCAUAUCUCUGCAUGGAGCUGGAGUUGACAGAGGGAGCUCAUCCGCAGUCUCCUCGGGUGGAUUCAAACCGGCAACCUUCAGAUCUUCUGAUGUCUGUGGUGGAGUAUCCAUUGGCCUAUAGAGCCCAGUUUAGGUGGUUCGGUUCACCUUGGAGGAGGUGGGUUGGCUGUCACAAACUAUGUUGAAUUGGUUGAGACUUGAUGAGAUAUUAAUUGAAAAACUAUAGCAAAAUGUGCUGCAGGAUGUUCCAAUUUUUUUACAGUUUAAUAAACCUUUUCCAUGUUUUUAUGAUAGAACCAAUUAGGAAAUGACAUUUAUAACCCAGGAUCAAAAAAUCAUGUUGCAUAAUGUAACUAAUCGGAAGGAAAGAGGAUAGCAAAGGCUUUGUGGUAGUAAACAUGGUUCAGAUGCAAGUGGUCCCAUUUCCAUUUGUAAUUUUGUCAGUUGAAAUUAUGGGGCAGAAAUUGUCAUUAGUAUGGAGGUGGAUGACUGGUACUACCCCAGCCAGCAUUUCUGAUCAUUGGUCAUGCUUGUUGGGACUGAUUGAAAUACAAAAUAUCUGCAGUUAACCAGGGUGAACAUCUAAUGCAGUACAUGAGCUCAUCAG
Long non-coding RNA from Anolis carolinensis (green anole), 834 nucleotides. RefSeq lists it as uncharacterized. The transcript is spliced from 3 exons. NCBI's taxonomy places the organism in Eukaryota, Metazoa, Chordata, Lepidosauria, Squamata, Anolidae. The record is from RefSeq and is a predicted model, not a curated record.